Molecule: transfer RNA, 76 nt
Filed under: Tepiditoga sp.
Lineage: Bacteria; Thermotogati; Thermotogota; Thermotogae; Petrotogales; Petrotogaceae
Also listed under: 1 other name
Description: tRNA-Trp
Rfam family: tRNA
About the family: Transfer RNA (tRNA) molecules are approximately 80 nucleotides in length.
Source: RNAcentral
ACGCCUGUAGCUCAAUUGGUAGAGCGACGGUCUCCAAAAUCGUAGGCUGGGGGUUCGAUUCCCUCCGGGCGUGCCA